This 706-nucleotide unclassified non-coding RNA is filed under the name Hevea brasiliensis (rubber tree). The record is from RNAcentral. Lineage: Eukaryota; Viridiplantae; Streptophyta; Magnoliopsida; Malpighiales; Euphorbiaceae.
CGAGGAUAAUGUGUAUUGAUAUAUACUGUAAAGACAGAAUACAUGUUUGUAAAAUUGAAGCCAUUUACAGGCCAAGUAUUUCAAAUUCUCUAAGCUAAAAUCAUACAACACAGCAGGAAUCGACGUGUAAAAAUCUUCCGUGGGGAACAAGACAUUUACCACCUUCUACGCCUCCUACCAUACCAGUAUGCAAAGGCAGCAAUUGAAGCAGCCAAAAUGACUCCAGCUGUUGCAUGCCAAACAUGUAAAGGUUUCUCUGUUACAAAAGUGGAACCCGAACUACUGCUGACAACAACAGCCUCCGAUGGCUCUGGUUUAUCACUCAAUGUCAAUGCAAAUCCUAAACCCUGCGUUUCGAGAUCAGACAAGUCCUCAAUUGCUGGUUUGAGCCUUGUGAUCUUUGCAAUAGCCUCAUACUCCUCUUUGGUUCCACCCUCUAGAAAAGACCCAACGACGUGACCUUUGUUCACCCAAUAUGCACCAAAGCUAUUCCCCAAGAAAUCCCCAAAAUGGACUACAUCACCAGUACUGUCACCAUAGAACUGCCAAGAGAGUGUGAAGACUCUGGAGUAGAAGAAUGGCAAGUAGUCAAACUCUGUUGUUUUCUCUGGUUCCAUGAUUGCAGCAACUGCAUGCCUUGCUGACUUCCUUGCAGAAUCAACGUGUUCAAGUCUCCGCGUCUCACCGAAAAUUUUGACAGGAAAAG